GAUGAACGCUGGCGGCGUGCCUAAUACAUGCAAGUCGAGCGAACGGACGAGAAGCUUGCUUCUCUGAUGUUAGCGGCGGACGGGUGAGUAACACGUGGAUAACCUACCUAUAAGACUGGGAUAACUUCGGGAAACCGGAGCUAAUACCGGAUAAUAUUUUGAACCGCAUGGUUCAAAAGUGAAAGACGGUCUUGCUGUCACUUAUAGAUGGAUCCGCGCUGCAUUAGCUAGUUGGUAAGGUAACGGCUUACCAAGGCAACGAUGCAUAGCCGACCUGAGAGGGUGAUCGGCCACACUGGAACUGAGACACGGUCCAGACUCCUACGGGAGGUAGCAGUAGGGAAUCUUCCGCAAUGGGCGAAAGCCUGACGGAGCAACGCCGCGUGAGUGAUGAAGGUCUUCGGAUCGUAAAACUCUGUUAUUAGGGAAGAACAUAUGUGUAAGUAACUGUGCACAUCUUGACGGUACCUAAUCAGAAAGCCACGGCUAACUACGCG
RNAcentral lists this ribosomal RNA (497 nucleotides) under uncultured bacterium. RNAcentral describes it as "partial 16S ribosomal RNA". It matches the Rfam family "Bacterial small subunit ribosomal RNA", at positions 28 to 507 of the family's 1533-position model. The record is from RNAcentral.